UAGGCUGCAACUCGCCUACACGAAGUCGGAAUCGCUAGUAAUCGCGGAUCAGCAUGCCGCGGUGAAUACGUUCCCGGGCCUUGUACACACCGCCCGUCACACCAUGAGAGUUUGUAACGCCCAAAGUCGGUGGCCUAACCUUUAUGGAGGGAGCCGCCUAAGGCGGGACAGAUGACUGGGGUGAAGUCGUAACAAGGUAGC
This 201-nucleotide ribosomal RNA is filed under the name uncultured bacterium. RNAcentral's name for it is "partial 16S ribosomal RNA". It matches the Rfam family "Bacterial small subunit ribosomal RNA", at positions 1301 to 1500 of the family's 1533-position model. The record is from RNAcentral.